Molecule: transfer RNA, 68 nt
Filed under: Laelia suffusa
Lineage: Eukaryota; Metazoa; Arthropoda; Insecta; Lepidoptera; Erebidae
Also listed under: 1 other name
Description: tRNA-Phe
Source: RNAcentral
AUUUAAAUAGCUUAAGUUAAAGAGUGUAAUAUUGAAGCUAUUAAGGUGAUAAUUUUAUCUUUAAAUAA